GACGAACGCUGGCGGCGUGCCUAAUACAUGCAAGUAGAACGCUGAAGAGAGGAGCUUGCUCUUCUUGGAUGAGUUGCGAACGGGUGAGUAACGCGUAGGUAACCUGCCUUGUAGCGGGGGAUAACUAUUGGAAACGAUAGCUAAUACCGCAUAACAAUGGAUGACACAUGUCAUUUAUUUGAAAGGGGCAAUUGCUCCACUACAAGAUGGACCUGCGUUGUAUUAGCUAGUAGGUGAGGUAAUGGCUCACCUAGGCGACGAUACAUAGCCGACCUGAGAGGGUGAUCGGCCACACUGGGACUGAGACACGGCCCAGACUCCUACGGGAGGCAGCAGUAGGGAAUCUUCGGCAAUGGGGGCAACCCUGACCGAGCAACGCCGCGUGAGUGAAGAAGGUUUUCGGAUCGUAAAGGUCUGUUGUAAGUCAAGAACGGGUGUGAGAGUGGAAAGUUCACACUGUGACGGUAGCUGACCAGAAAGGGACGGCUAACUACGUG
This 497-nucleotide ribosomal RNA is filed under the name uncultured bacterium. Its description in RNAcentral is "partial 16S ribosomal RNA". It matches the Rfam family "Bacterial small subunit ribosomal RNA", at positions 28 to 507 of the family's 1533-position model. The record is from RNAcentral.